Molecule: long non-coding RNA, 363 nt
Organism: Ailuropoda melanoleuca (giant panda)
Lineage: Eukaryota; Metazoa; Chordata; Mammalia; Carnivora; Ursidae
Exons: 3
Source: RefSeq, a predicted model, not a curated record
AUUACCUUGUUGCCAUUUUACACUGUAAAAAGCUCAAAGAUGACACAGUGAGACUGUCCAACAAGCAGGAUGUGACUCUAAGUUAUCCUAUCCACUACUCUGCCAUCAACUGCAAAGAGAACUGCUCUGAAUUUGCAUACGGAGAUAAACUCCCACCUCUCCUGCCGAGACACAGGAUUCUAUCUCUGACCACAGUCAAGAAGAAGACAGGAAAUGAAUACAAAAGGGAAAAAACCUGUAACCGUCAAAACCAGCAAUCUGAGGAGGGACGGUGAUUACUAGACCAAAGAGACUGAAACAAGUGUCUUGUGGAUGUGUGAUGAAGAUGCAAACCAAGAACAGAAGAAGCUAAAGCCCAGACAC